UUGGAGGGCAAGUCUGGUGCCAGCAGCCGCGGUAAUUCCAGCUCCAAUAGCGUAUAUUAAAGUUGUUGCAGUUAAAAAGCUCGUAGUUGAAUUUCGGGGUUCUACCGUUGGUCGGGCUUUGUCUGUACUGGUGUGUAGAAUUUCUACCUUCUGGGGAACCAUCAUGCUAUUAAUUUAGCGUGGUGGGAAACCAGGACCUUUACCUUGAAAAAAUUAGUGUGUUCAAAGCAGGCUUAUGUCUGAAUACAUUAGCGUGGAAUAAUAGAAUAGGACGGUGGUCCUGUUUUGUUGGUUUCUGAAUCACCGUAAUGAUUAAUAGGGAUAGUUGGGGGCAUUAGUAUUCAAUUGUCAGAGGUGAAAUUCUUGGUUUUAUUGAGGACUAACUUCUGCGAAAGCAUUUGCCAAGGAUGUUUUCAUUAAUCAAGAACGAAAGUUAGGGGAUCGAAGACGAUCAGAUACCGUCGUAGUCUUAACCAUAAACUAUGCCGACUAGGGAUCGGACGAUGUUAAUUUUUCUUGACUCGUUCGGCGCCUUACGGGAAA
This 543-nucleotide ribosomal RNA is filed under the name uncultured Glomeromycotina. RNAcentral's name for it is "SSU rRNA". It matches the Rfam family "Eukaryotic small subunit ribosomal RNA", at positions 548 to 1097 of the family's 1831-position model. The record is from RNAcentral. Lineage: Eukaryota; Fungi; Glomeromycota.